Molecule: ribosomal RNA, 419 nt
Filed under: bacterium
Lineage: Bacteria
Description: partial 16S ribosomal RNA
Rfam family: Bacterial small subunit ribosomal RNA
Source: RNAcentral
UGGGGGAUAUUGCACAAUGGGCGAAAGCCUGAUGCAGCGACGCCGCGUGGGGGAUGAAGGCCUUCGGGUUGUAAACUUCUUUUGCUCUGAACAAGGCGCACCAUGGGGUGUGUUGAGUGUAGGGGUUGAUUAGCGCCGGCUAACUACGUGCCAGCAGCCGCGGUAAUACGUAGGGCGCGAGCGUUGUCCGGAAUUAUUGGGCGUAAAGGGCGUGUAGGUGGCUGGUUGCGUCUGUCGUGAAAGCUCAUGGCUUAACUGUGGGUUUGCGGUGGGUACGGGCUGGCUUGAGUGCAGUAGGGGAGGCUGGAAUUCCUGGUGUAGCGGUGGAAUGCGCAGAUAUCAGGAGGAAUACCGGUGGCGAAGGCGGGUCUCUGGGCUGUUACUGACACUGAGGAGCGAAAGCAUGGGGAGCGAACAGG